UACCGCUGAAUGAUUUCAAACCAUGGCUGCUCUAUCGUCAGAUCCGCACGAAAUGGAGGAAAGGUUUUCGUUAUUAACAGAAAAUACAAGGGUGAGAGUCAGCUCUGUUUUAAACCGAGAUUGUAGUCAUUAUGGAAAGAAAUACAUGUUUGAUAAAAAUGAGGACACAUGCUGGAAUUCAGAUCAGGGUUCACCUCAAUUCGUUAUCCUGGAAUUUCCUGAAGAAAGUUGUGUGAGGGAAAUUCAUAUUCAGUUUCAAGGUGGAUUUGUUGGGAAGGAAUGUUGUCUUGAAGGUGGACCUUCUUGUAACAGCUUAACUCCAUUCUUUACAUUUUAUCCUGAUGAUGUUGGCUCACUACAGAUUUUUCCAAUCACAAGCUCAAGAAAAUUAAAAGUUUUAAAGAUUGUUUUUAUAAGUAGUAGUGAUCUUUUUGGACGAAUUACAGUCUAUAAGCUAGAUGUGUUGGGUUGCUGAUGCACAUUCUACCAUGCUUCAAGAAAAUAACUAAACAGCAAAAGUGCAAGGCAAUGAGCUGCAAACUGAACUUGUUCGUUUCAUUUAUCAAUAUUACAUUUUAGUCCCUUAAACCACUCGCAAUUAGUCAAUAAAAUAUAAUGGAUUGCAUAUUAAGUUACUAGACAGCAGCACAGCAGCUCUUAAUUUGACUUUCGUUCGUCGGAAUACAUGUUUUUUUGCUUUUAUUUGCUUUGAUAAUAUAUGCUCAAGUAGAAGACGUUGGACUUUUGAAUUUGGAGGCAUCUACCCGCAACAUAAUAAGAACAGCUGGAGUGUUUUUGUGACUACUGCGCUUAUGCAGCAGUCACUAUUGCCAUUGUCUGAGUUUUCCGAAAGUAAGUAAGUAACAAUUGAAUGUACUUCGGAGCCAAUCAGCGCAACAAAUAUCCAUCUCCCGGUUUCUAGCAAACACUUCGUAUCAACGAUGAUUUGCCGAUAGUCAUCGAUGGCUGCCCCCUUCAAUCUCAGCUCUUGGAAGUAUUCUUCGAAAUUGAGGGGCAGAUCUAGGAUUUUUCAAUAAUGCAUGCCCCUGAAAUGUUGCAAUUUGAGAAUUGAGAGAAGUAAAACAACUAUGGAGGGCUUAGUGAAGAUGAAUAGUGGGGCAUAAAAACGAGGCUCAAUGUUUCACAGUAGAGUGCUGCUUUGUACCUCAAGAUUACUCACUGGUGUGACUGUUAUCACUAUUUUAGGUAAUCACAAUGUACCUGUCUAGAGUGUGCGCCUUAACUCACUCACUUACUCAUCCCUGUAGUGCCGGCUGUAGAGUUACCUUUACUUCUUCCAUAAUACAGGUACUCUCAAUCAACCCCAGAACUGUUGCUAUGAUUGGUACCAUUCUCGUUGUGUUGUUUACCAUAAAUCUUGUUUCAUCAGUGUAUUAAAAUAUUAAAAAAUGUUUUUGAUUGUCUCAUCAGGUUUGUUUACUGAUUACUUUUCAUACACCAUACAUCAUACACUGCUGAUAGUUUUACACUUAAUUCUGUCAACUGUUACACUGGCGACACCCACAUAUACUAAAAGGCCAGAUUUGAUUCCAACUUGGAAGCUUGGGGAAAUACAAGAAAAGAAAUCACAUUAAGGUCGAGGAAUGAAUCAUUUAUUUCUUUUGUUUUAUUCCCCUAAGCCU
Molecule: unclassified non-coding RNA, 1643 nt
Organism: Orbicella faveolata
Lineage: Eukaryota; Metazoa; Cnidaria; Anthozoa; Scleractinia; Merulinidae
Source: RefSeq, a predicted model, not a curated record